AGCGAACGCUGGCGGCAGGCCUAACACAUGCAAGUCGAACGGAACCUUCGGGAUUAGUGGCGGACGGGUGAGUAACACGUGGGAACGUGCCCUUUGGUUCGGAACAACUCAGGGAAACUUGAGCUAAUACCGGAUGUGCCCUUCGGGGGAAAGAUUUAUCGCCAUUGGCGCGGCCCGCGUCUGAUUAGCUAGUUGGUGAGGUAACGGCCCACCAAGGCGACGAUCAGUAGCUGGUCUGUGAGGAUGAUCAGCCACACUGGGACUGAGACACGGCCCAGACUCCUACGGGAGGCAGCAGUGGGGAAUCUUGCGCAAUGGGCGAAAGCCUGACGCAGCCAUGCCGCGUGAAUGAUGAAGGUCUUAGGAUUGUAAAAUUCUUUCAGCGGGGACGAUAAUGACGGUACCCGCAGAAGAAGCUCCGGCUAACUUCGUG
This 433-nucleotide ribosomal RNA is filed under the name uncultured bacterium. Its description in RNAcentral is "partial 16S ribosomal RNA". It matches the Rfam family "Bacterial small subunit ribosomal RNA", at positions 29 to 507 of the family's 1533-position model. The record is from RNAcentral.